Long non-coding RNA from Xenia sp. Carnegie-2017, 466 nucleotides. RefSeq lists it as uncharacterized. The record is from RefSeq and is a predicted model, not a curated record. Lineage: Eukaryota; Metazoa; Cnidaria; Anthozoa; Malacalcyonacea; Xeniidae. The transcript is spliced from 3 exons.
AGCAAUUUAUUUUUGCCGAGUCAUCAUAUGUGCAUCUAUAUUGAACAAGUCAAUUGGUCGAGGGAGAGCAAUUAAGAUUGUAAUCAAAUUUUAAGAUAGAGCCGGUUAUUUCUGCCUGUUCUUCAGUCAAGCUGGUUGAUGCCCUCGAUCGAAAAAGAUUCCAAUGUAUGAACGUUUUAUGCCGUCGUAUAUCAAUUGCUAAUUUUUACUCGGAUUUUUGCUCAUAACUUUUUCACGCAAAGCAUUAACGGCUUGCCACUGUCCAAAUGGUAGUAAAGGAGUUGAACGCUUUUAUCACUGCUUUCCUCAUGAGACGUUUUGUGGAUAUGUGUACAAACUACAUGAUGGUGUUUGCUGCAUCUGAGAACGACUGUGUGAUAAAAAAUUAGCAUAUUAAAACUAAAAAAAAUAGUUAUGUUAUUUGCUCUUGUUAUUUGAUGUAAUAUUAAAUUAUUUGAAAUGUAAA